RNAcentral lists this ribosomal RNA (759 nucleotides) under uncultured fungus. RNAcentral's name for it is "eukaryotic LSU rRNA". It matches the Rfam family "Eukaryotic large subunit ribosomal RNA", at positions 30 to 821 of the family's 3401-position model. The record is from RNAcentral. Lineage: Eukaryota; Fungi.
GAACUUAAGCAUAUCAAUAAGCGGAGGAAAAGAAACCAACAGGGAUUGCCCUAGUAACGGCGAGUGAAGCGGCAACAGCUCAAAUUUGAAAUCUGGCCCUCGGGUCCGAGUUGUAAUUUGUAGAGGAUGCUUUUGGUGCGGUGCCUUCCGAGUUCCCUGGAACGGGACGCCAUAGAGGGUGAGAGCCCCGUCUGGUUGGACACCAAUCCUCUGUAAAGCUCCUUCGACGAGUCGAGUAGUUUGGGAAUGCUGCUCUAAAUGGGAGGUAUAUGUCUUCUAAAGCUAAAUAUUGGCCAGAGACCGAUAGCGCACAAGUAGAGUGAUCGAAAGAUGAAAAGCACUUUGAAAAGAGAGUUAAACAGUACGUGAAAUUGUUGAAAGGGAAGCGCUUAUGACCAGACUUGGGCUUGGUAGAUCAACCUGGGUUCUCCCUGGUGCACUCUUCCUCGUCCAGGCCAGCAUCAGUUCGCUGCGGGGGAUAAAGGCUUCGGGAAUGUGGCUCCCUCGGGAGUGUUAUAGCCCGUUGCGUAAUACCCUGCGGUGGACUGAGGUUCGCGUUCUGCAAGGAUGCUGGCGUAAUGGUCAUCAGCGACCCGUCUUGAAACACGGACCAAGGAGUCGUCUUCGUAUGCGAGUGUUCGGGUGUUAAACCCCUACGCGUAAUGAAAGUGAACGCAGGUGAGAGCUUCGGCGCAUCAUCGACCGAUCCUGAUGUUCUCGGAUGGAUUUGAGUAAGAGCAUACGGGGCCGGACCCGAAA